This is a long non-coding RNA of Pocillopora damicornis (cauliflower coral), 696 nucleotides long. NCBI's taxonomy places the organism in Eukaryota, Metazoa, Cnidaria, Anthozoa, Scleractinia, Pocilloporidae. The record is from RefSeq and is a predicted model, not a curated record.
GGAACCAAAGCUGGAGGUAAAAAGCCAGAAAGCAAGCCCCCCGGGCCUGAGCCAGCAGCACCUCCACGUCCACCUCCAUCUCCUGGACCUGGCCGUCCCCGACCUGGUGGUCCGCCAAACGGUAAUUGUAUCAGAAAAGUAGUAAAGUUUGGAAGACUGCUAAAAAUAAUCCAGAUCUGCAGGAAUCCCAAUGAUGACAAAACAACAAGCACAACACAGACCCAAGUGAAUUCAAAGGAAACAUGAAACGGGGGAACGUACUUGAUAAUGAUGAUGAUGCAUAAAUGAAUAAAAUUGAUUGGGGAAAGUACAAACGGGAUAUCUCUUGCGUCACGCUGCAUCCUUGAAUUAUAAAGAAGAAUAAUGCACUUAAUAUAUUAACCUUAACCAUGUAUAGAAUUCUAUGCACGUUCGCUGCCCACAUAAUAGCCCAGAUAUUUAAUUCACUAUUAGCACUUCUGUUUCCUCAGAAAUCAGAGAGGAGGGCAGGGGUUAAAAUGUAAGCAUUUUCUCAUCAUAUUCAAUCGUUUGUAAUAGAUAAAAGCCUUUCAUCGACCGAGUAGCCUAAGGAGUUUAAAAGCUAGAAACCAAAGGCUUUCUUACGGCUGGCCACAUAUUCGUAGUAAAAGGAAAACACACCAGGAGUAAGAGAUCUACGAGAUACUUCAGGAAAAAAAUGAUGAAGUGGGACAAUGA